AGAAUCAACGCUGGCGGCGUGCCUAACACAUGCAAGUCGAACGAGAAAGGGUAGCAAUACCUGAGUAAAGUGGCGCACGGGUGAGUAACACGUGACUAACCUACCCUGGAGUGGGGGAUAACUGAGGGAAACCUUAGCUAAUACCGCAUAAUACCUACGGGUCAAAGGAGCAAUUCGCUUCAGGAGGGGGUCGCGGCCGAUUAGUUAGUUGGCGGGGUAAUGGCCCACCAAGACGAUGAUCGGUAUCCGGCCUGAGAGGGCGCACGGACACACUGGAACUGAAACACGGUCCAGACUCCUACGGGAGGCAGCAGUGGGGAAUUUUGCGCAAUGGGGGAACCCUGACGCAGCAACGCCGCGUGGAGGAUGAAGUCCUUCGGGACGUAAACUCCUUUCGAUCGGGACGAUUAUGACGGUACCGGAAGAAGAAGCCCCGGCUAACUUCGCGCCAGCAGCCGC
Molecule: ribosomal RNA, 459 nt
Filed under: uncultured bacterium
Lineage: Bacteria
Description: SSU rRNA
Rfam family: Bacterial small subunit ribosomal RNA
Source: RNAcentral